AGGACAAACGCUGGCGGCGUGCCUAAGACAUGCAAGUCGGACGGGGGGCUUUGGCCCCUAGUGGCGGACGGGUGAGGAACGCGUGGAGAACCUGCCCCGGGGUGGGGGAUACCCGCCAGAAAUGGCGGUUAAGACCGCAUACGAAUGUCUCGUGCAGGCGAGAUCGGGAAAGCAGUGAUGUGCCCUGGGAGGGCUCCGCGUCGGAUUAGCUAGUUGGUGGGGUAACGGCCUACCAAGGCGACGAUCCGUAGCUGGUCUGAGAGGACGGCCAGCCACACUGGGACUGAGACACGGCCCAGACUCCUACGGGAGGCAGCAGUGGGGAAUUUGCGCAAUGGGGGAAACCCUGACGCAGCAACGCCGCGUGGAGGAUGAAGCCCCUUGGGGUGUAAACUCCUUUCGAUCGGGAAGAUAAUGACGGUACCGAUAUAAGAAGCCCCGGCUAACUUCGUGCCAGCAGCCGC
RNAcentral lists this ribosomal RNA (464 nucleotides) under uncultured bacterium. RNAcentral's name for it is "SSU rRNA". It matches the Rfam family "Bacterial small subunit ribosomal RNA", at positions 26 to 518 of the family's 1533-position model. The record is from RNAcentral.